This 77-nucleotide transfer RNA is filed under the name Pseudomonadota bacterium. RNAcentral's name for it is "tRNA-Pro". It matches the Rfam family "tRNA". From Rfam's summary of the family: Transfer RNA (tRNA) molecules are approximately 80 nucleotides in length. Their secondary structure includes four short double-helical elements and three loops (D, anti-codon, and T loops). RNAcentral also lists the same sequence under 3 other names. The record is from RNAcentral. Lineage: Bacteria; Pseudomonadati; Pseudomonadota.
CGGGAUGUGGCGCAGCCUGGUAGCGCGUUCGCUUGGGGUGCGAAAGGUCGCGAGUUCAAAUCUCGCCAUCCCGACCA